GACGAACGCUGGCGGCGUGCUUAACACAUGCAAGUCGAACGGAAAGGCCCUGCUUUUGUGGGGUGCUCGAGUGGCGAACGGGUGAGUAACACGUGAGUAACCUGCCCUUGACUUUGGGAUAACUUCAGGAAACUGGGGCUAAUACCGGAUAGGAGCUCCUGCUGCAUGGUGGGGGUUGGAAAGUUUCGGCGGUUGGGGAUGGACUCGCGGCUUAUCAGCUUGUUGGUGGGGUAGUGGCUUACCAAGGCUUUGACGGGUAGCCGGCCUGAGAGGGUGACCGGCCACAUUGGGACUGAGAUACGGCCCGGACUCCUACGGGAGGCAGCAGUGGGGAAUAUUGCACAAUGGGAGGAAGCCUGAUGCAGCAACGCCGCGUGCGGGAUGACGGCCUUCGGGUUGUAAACCGCUUUCGCCUGUGACGAAGCGUGAGUGACGGUAAUGGGUAAAGAAGCACCGGCUAACUACGUG
This 468-nucleotide ribosomal RNA is filed under the name uncultured bacterium. RNAcentral describes it as "partial 16S ribosomal RNA". It matches the Rfam family "Bacterial small subunit ribosomal RNA", at positions 28 to 507 of the family's 1533-position model. The record is from RNAcentral.